AUUGAACGCUGGCGGCAUGCUUUACACAUGCAAGUCGAACGGCAGCGCGGGCUUCGGCCUGGCGGCGAGUGGCGAACGGGUGAGUAAUGCAUCGGAACGUGCCCAGUAGUGGGGGAUAGCCCGGCGAAAGCCGGAUUAAUACCGCAUACGACCUGAUGGUGAAAGCGGGGGACCGAAAGGCCUCGCGCUAUUGGAGCGGCCGAUGUCGGAUUAGCUAGUUGGUUGGGUAAAGGCUUACCAAGGCGACGAUCCGUAGCUGGUCUGAGAAGACGACCAGCCACACUGGGACUGAGACACGGCCCAGACUCCUACGGGAGGCAGCAGUGGGGAAUUUUGGACAAUGGGGGAAACCCUGAUCCAGCCAUGCCGCGUGCGAGAAGAAGGCCUUCGGGUUGUAAACCGCUUUUGUUCGGGAAGAAAUACUCUGGGCUAAUACCCCGGGGGGAUGACGGUACCGGAAGAAUAAGCACCGGCUAACUACGUG
Molecule: ribosomal RNA, 484 nt
Filed under: uncultured bacterium
Lineage: Bacteria
Description: partial 16S ribosomal RNA
Rfam family: Bacterial small subunit ribosomal RNA
Source: RNAcentral